This 653-nucleotide unclassified non-coding RNA is filed under the name Yarrowia lipolytica. The record is from RNAcentral. Lineage: Eukaryota; Fungi; Ascomycota; Dipodascomycetes; Dipodascales.
UGUAUAAAAAUUGCACCGCCGAACACCACUUCUCCCCAUCAUAGCACAAGUCUAGAUAGGUAAUUGUCAUUACUCAAGAGGAGCUGUAGACUGUAGAGUAUUGGUCGUAUUGGUCCAUGGUCGAUGAUGAAACAAACAUCUGCAAGUCCUAGCAAUGGUCGCAAGACUGAAAUGCGGAAAACUUGUCACAAACUUUUCUGAGGCUUCAAAACUCCGACUUCGGUCUUGGUCUCGCACUACCCAAUCACUCUUGCUCUCACUGUUAAUGUGCUCUGUUUUUUAUGAUCUUUCAAUAAUCACAACACAAUUUAGUUGAAAUUACUUGAAUAAUUGAACCCAAACCACAUCGAUGGCCAUAGUCAAGUAUACAAGUCCAUCACACGAACACGGCCGCCGUGGCAGGCAACGCCAUGUGAUUGGGAUCAGUCACGUGACCUCAUAGAGACAAUGCACAUGACCUCACAGCUACCACCAAAGUGCACCCAAAUUCACCAUGCACCCAGCCUGGACCCAACAUCCUCCUCUCGACAACGUCAUAUUAUGUGCACGUGACUCAUGUAAGCGACUCCUAUUCGUUCCAUAGAGAAUAUCAGGUGAUCGGACAAAUCUUCCUAAUCAAAAUGAUACUCUGAAAGCGCAGUUUCUGUUUCUAC